GGCCUACAAGUCGUGGCUUUGGUUGUUGUCCUCAUCAUCAUCAUCGGUUUCAUUGUCUUCAUUUACUGUUGUCCAAGAAAAAGAAGGAGAGAUCCUGAAAAAGGAAAAAAAAGGAGAGAUCCUGAAAGAG
Molecule: long non-coding RNA, 130 nt
Organism: Gopherus flavomarginatus (Mexican gopher tortoise)
Lineage: Eukaryota; Metazoa; Chordata; Testudines; Testudinidae
Exons: 3
Source: RefSeq, a predicted model, not a curated record